This 477-nucleotide ribosomal RNA is filed under the name uncultured bacterium. RNAcentral describes it as "partial 16S ribosomal RNA". It matches the Rfam family "Bacterial small subunit ribosomal RNA", at positions 28 to 506 of the family's 1533-position model. The record is from RNAcentral.
GAUGAACGCUGGCGGCGUGCUUAACACAUGCAAGUCGAACGGGAAAUAUUUCAUUGAGACUUCGGUGGAUUUGAUUUAUUUCUAGUGGCGGACGGGUGAGUAACGCGUGGGUAACCUGCCUUAUACAGGGGGAUAACAGUCAGAAAUGGCUGCUAAUACCGCAUAAGCGCACAGAGCUGCAUGGCUCAGUGUGAAAAACUCCGGUGGUAUAAGAUGGACCCGCGUUGGAUUAGCUAGUUGGUGGGGUAACGGCCCACCAAGGCGACGAUCCAUAGCCGGCCUGAGAGGGUGAACGGCCACAUUGGGACUGAGACACGGCCCAGACUCCUACGGGAGGCAGCAGUGGGGAAUAUUGCACAAUGGGGGAAACCCUGAUGCAGCGACGCCGCGGGAAGGAAGAAGUAUCUCGGUAUGUAAACUUCUAUCAGCAGGGAAGAUAGUGACGGUACCUGACUAAGAAACCCCGGCUAACUACGU